Lontra canadensis (Northern American river otter) is the source of this 718-nucleotide long non-coding RNA. RefSeq lists it as uncharacterized. The transcript is spliced from 3 exons. Lineage: Eukaryota; Metazoa; Chordata; Mammalia; Carnivora; Mustelidae. The record is from RefSeq and is a predicted model, not a curated record.
UUAUUGAUAACUAACAAUCAUAUAUGGACCCAUAUUUCAUAAGGAUAUGAACAGAAUGGAUACCGUUACAAAUUGAUACUAAGUGUUUUGGGUCUAAAUAUUUAUCCACUGCCUUGAUCAGACACUUGGUUUAAAUUGCCUAUAACAAUAUCUUUAGAUAUAUGAGAAAGCUCCAGGAAUCCUUCCCAAACCCUCCAAUGCUCCAUCGGAUGGGUAAAAGAUCCCUACACAUCCAUGGCAUCUUUUUUCUUCAAAGAACAGCUACAUAACAGGAAAGAGGGUAAAGGGUCUUUCUCCUACACCAUGAAGUUCUUCCUAAUCACCACUGUGUGCCCUGAAAUGCCAAGAAACUGCCAAGGAUAUUCUCUGUUGAAUGUGGGCAUGACUGUCCACCUCUUGUUAGACUGCCCAUGCUUCCAAGCAUACCACAAUUCUCUGGCAUCCGCAGGUUAAUCACAAAGACUCUGAGGAUCCCUGCUGGGCCUGGCCAUCACCAGAGGUCCAAGCACCAGCUCAGCAGCAGAACCCAAAGAAUCAGAGACUGCUACCUUAAUUCCAAGGCCUCACAGGCAGGGACUAUAAACUGCUAGAACUUCAAAACCAGGACAGGAAGUGCCUGCUCAGCUCAAGGGACACAGGAAGGGUGGGAACAGCCUCAAUGUGGGAACUACAACGGAGACUGGAAGAACAGUGGCCAAAUGCAAUAAAUAAAUUACUA